UUUUGCUGACGAGUGGCGGACGGGUGAGUAAUGUCUGGGAAACUGCCUGAUGGAGGGGGAUAACUACUGGAAACGGUAGCUAAUACCGCAUAACGUCGCAAGACCAAAGAGGGGGACCUUCGGGCCUCUUGCCAUCGGAUGUGCCCAGAUGGGAUUAGCUAGUAGGUGGGGUAACGGCUCACCUAGGCGACGAUCCCUAGCUGGUCUGAGAGGAUGACCAGCCACACUGGAACUGAGACACGGUCCAGACUCCUACGGGAGGCAGCAGUGGGGAAUAUUGCACAAUGGGCGCAAGCCUGAUGCAGCCAUGCCGCGUGUAUGAAGAAGGCCUUCGGGUUGUAAAGUACUUUCAGCGGGGAGGAAGGGAGUAAAGUUAAUACCUUUGCUCAUUGACGUUACCCGCAGAAGAAGCACCGGCUAACUCCGUGCCAGCAGCCGCGGUAAUACGGAGGGUGCAAGCGUUAAUCGGAAUUACUGGGCGUAAAGCGCACGCAGGCGGUUUGUUAAGUCAGAUGUGAAAUCCCCGGGCUCAACCUGGGAACUGCAUCUGAUACUGGCAAGCUUGAGUCUCGUAGAGGGGGGUAGAAUUCCAGGUGUAGCGGUGAAAUGCGUAGAGAUCUGGAGGAAUACCGGUGGCGAAGGCGGCCCCCUGGACGAAGACUGACGCUCAGGU
Molecule: ribosomal RNA, 673 nt
Filed under: Escherichia coli
Lineage: Bacteria; Pseudomonadati; Pseudomonadota; Gammaproteobacteria; Enterobacterales; Enterobacteriaceae
Description: bacterial SSU rRNA
Rfam family: Bacterial small subunit ribosomal RNA
Source: RNAcentral